This 253-nucleotide ribosomal RNA is filed under the name uncultured bacterium. Its description in RNAcentral is "partial 16S ribosomal RNA". It matches the Rfam family "Bacterial small subunit ribosomal RNA", at positions 524 to 776 of the family's 1533-position model. The record is from RNAcentral.
UACGGAAUGUGCAAACGUUAUUCGGAAUCACUGGGCUUAAAGAGUCCGUAGGCGGCUUGUUAGGUGAGGUGUGAAAUCCCUUGGCCCAACCAAGGAAUUGCGCUUCAAACCGGCGAGCUUGAGGAGGAUAGAGGUGGGCGGAACUGAUGGUGGAGCGGUGAAAUGCGUUGAUAUCAUCAGGAACACCGGAGGCGAAAGCGGUCCACUGGGUCCUUUCUGACGCUGAGGGACGAAAGCUAGGGGAGCGAACGGG